RNAcentral lists this ribosomal RNA (537 nucleotides) under Phyllactinia moricola. RNAcentral's name for it is "eukaryotic LSU rRNA". It matches the Rfam family "Eukaryotic large subunit ribosomal RNA", at positions 102 to 651 of the family's 3401-position model. The record is from RNAcentral. Lineage: Eukaryota; Fungi; Ascomycota; Leotiomycetes; Helotiales; Erysiphaceae.
UAACAGCUCAAAUUUGAAAUCUGGCUCCCUGCGGAGUCCGAGUUGUAAUUUGUAGAAGAUGCUUUGGGUGCUUGGCCCGGCCUAAGUUCCUUGGAACAGGACGUCGUAGAGGGUGAGAAUCCCGUAUGCGGCCAGUGUCGGCGCCCGUGUAAAGCUCUUUCGACGAGUCGAGUUGUUUGGGAAUGCAGCUCAAAAUGGGUGGUAAAUUUCAUCUAAAGCUAAAUAUGGGCCAGAGACCGAUAGCGCACAAGUAGAGUGAUCGAAAGAUGAAAAGCACUUUGGAAAGAGAGUUAAACAGUACGUGAAAUUGUUGAAAGGGAAGCGCUUGCAACCAGACUUGGGCGUCGCUGAUCAUCCAAAGACACUCUUUGGUGCACUCGACGACGCACAGGCCAGCAUCGGUUGGAGUGGUGGGAGAAAGGUUGCCGGAACGUGGCUCUUUUCGGAGAGUGUUAUAGCCGGCGACGCAAUACCGCCUACCCCGACCGAGGACCGCGCUUCGGCUAGGAUGCUGGCGUAAUGGUUGUAAACGACCCG